This 465-nucleotide ribosomal RNA is filed under the name uncultured bacterium. RNAcentral describes it as "partial 16S ribosomal RNA". It matches the Rfam family "Bacterial small subunit ribosomal RNA", at positions 338 to 795 of the family's 1533-position model. The record is from RNAcentral.
CCUACGGGUGGCAGCAGUAGGGAAUCUUCCACAAUGGGCGAAAGCCUGAUGGAGCAACGCCGCGUGGGUGAAGAAGGUCUUCGGAUCGUAAAACCCUGUUGUUAGAGAAGCAAGUGCGUGAGAGUAACUGUUCACGUUUCGACGGUAUCUAACCAGAACGCCACGGCUAACUACGUGCCAGCAGCCGCGGUGAUACGUAGGUGGCAAGCGUUAUCCGGAUUUAUUGGGCGUAAAGGGAACGCAGGCGGUCUUUUAAGUCUGAUGUGAAAGCCCUCGGCUUAACCGGGGUAGUGCAUUGGAAACUGGGAGACGUGAGUGCAGAAGAGGAGAGUGGAACUCGAUGUGUAGCGGUGAAAUGCGUAGAUAUAUGGAAGAACUCCAGUGGCGAAGGCGGCUCUCUGGUCUGUAACUGACGCUGAGGUUCGAAAGCGUGGGUAUCAAACAGGAUUAGAUACCCGAGUAGUC